Long non-coding RNA from Tripterygium wilfordii, 748 nucleotides. RefSeq lists it as uncharacterized. The transcript has 2 exons. Lineage: Eukaryota; Viridiplantae; Streptophyta; Magnoliopsida; Celastrales; Celastraceae. The record is from RefSeq and is a predicted model, not a curated record.
UCCAUCUGGAUUUUCAUUUUUUUCUUGGGUGGGGUUGUGGGGUUCACCAUAACCAAAAAGUUAGAAAAUUCAAACAAAGUUUACCUGUAAAACCCAGGCAAGUUUGGCUCUAUUCUAUCUAAUGGAACUAUUAUUUGUGAGAGAAACAAAGCCCUUUUUUUCUUGCCGCCUUCUCCACAACUUUGUAUUCCUCCUUUCCUCUGUCAUUUUUUGUCUCCUCUCUCUUUUUUCUCCUUUGUCAGACUCCUUAAACUCUUCUUCAGGGAAGCUUUCGCUAACAUAUCUGCUUGCAGAGUUUGGGUGAGAUGAGAAGGUUGUGUUUAAUUGUUCUGCCUGGCUCCCUGAAUGCCAUCUAAGAAGCUUGUCAAAGAGUGUUGGCAACCUUCCUACUUGGCAUGAGGGGAGUCAUGCAGGCAGCACCAAAAAUAAAUAUCAGUCAGCGUCAGCUCCUCCACAUCUGGAGUGGUCUCAUGAAUGGCGUGAGGCUCUGUGGGAUUAGGAGAGGAGAAAGAUAAGAGUUGUGGUGAUAGGAGAUGGAGUUGAUCCGGUCAGGUUGAUUAAAGGCUUAACUAAAUGCUAAUCAUAUCAACUAGAGACAGAGAGACAGACAGGCAUAGAGAAAGAGGAAGAGAUAUACAGUAAUGCUAAAUAUAGUAGUUAUCGUUGUUGUAAAAUUUGCAGUUUCCACUGUUUUGGAUUGUUGAGAAAUUGUGCAGAACUGCUGAAAAUUUAGCUAGCAAAGAAAUCA